UCUCCGUUGGUGAACCAGCGGAGGGAUCAUUACAGGACUCGCAAGACUCCUUAACCCUGUGAACUUACUAUAAAGCGCGUUGCUUCGGCGGGUGCCCCGGGUCUCCCGAGGCGCUAAGCCCGCCGGCAGCCUACUAUACUCUGUCUCUUUGCGUUGGCAUCUCGAGAAAAAACAAACAAGUUAAAACUUUCAACAACGGAUCUCUUGGUUCUG
Molecule: unclassified non-coding RNA, 213 nt
Filed under: plant metagenome
Description: partial contains small subunit ribosomal RNA, internal transcribed spacer 1, and 5.8S ribosomal RNA
Source: RNAcentral